RNAcentral lists this ribosomal RNA (460 nucleotides) under uncultured bacterium. RNAcentral's name for it is "partial 16S ribosomal RNA". It matches the Rfam family "Bacterial small subunit ribosomal RNA", at positions 338 to 795 of the family's 1533-position model. The record is from RNAcentral.
CCUACGGGAGGCAGCAGUGAGGAAUAUUGGUCAAUGGACGAGAGUCUGAACCAGCCAAGUAGCGUGAAGGAUGACUGCCCUAUGGGUUGUAAACUUCUUUUAUAUGGGAAUAAAAUGUUCCACGUGUGGGUUUUUGUAUGUACCAUAUGAAUAAGGAUCGGCUAACUCCGUGCCAGCAGCCGCGGUAAUACGGAGGAUCCGAGCGUUAUCCGGAUUUAUUGGGUUUAAAGGGAGCGUAGGUGGAUUGUUAAGUCAGUUGUGAAAGUUUGCGGCUCAACCGUAAAAUUGCAGUUGAAACUGGCAGUCUUGAGUACAGUAGAGGUGGGCGGAAUUCGUGGUGGAGCGGUGAAAUGCUUAGAUAUCACGAAGAACUCCGAUUGCGAAGGCAGCUCACUAGACUGCAACUGACACUGAGGCUCGAAAGUGUGGGUAUCAAACAGGAUUAGAUACCCCAGUAGUC